GCGUUGUCCGGAAUUACUGGGCGUAAAGAGCGCGUAGGCGGCGCCACACGACGGUCGUGAAAGCCCCCGGCUCAACCGGGGAGGGUCGGUCGUAACGGUGGUGCUUGAGUACGGGAGAGGGAAGUGGAACUCCGGGAGUAGCGGUGAAAUGCGUAGAGACCCGGAGGAACACCAGUGGCGAAGGCGGCUUCCUGGCCUGUUACUGACGCUGUGGCGCGAAAGCUGG
RNAcentral lists this ribosomal RNA (226 nucleotides) under uncultured bacterium. RNAcentral describes it as "partial 16S ribosomal RNA". It matches the Rfam family "Bacterial small subunit ribosomal RNA", at positions 538 to 763 of the family's 1533-position model. The record is from RNAcentral.